Molecule: RNA transcript, 2735 nt
Organism: Hevea brasiliensis (rubber tree)
Lineage: Eukaryota; Viridiplantae; Streptophyta; Magnoliopsida; Malpighiales; Euphorbiaceae
Exons: 5
Source: RefSeq, a predicted model, not a curated record
GGCGCAAGGCGCACCGGGCGCAGCCCUAGGGGCCUCGGGGCAGCUGAGGCGCAAGACCUCACUGAGGCGCAUCGAGGCGCACCGAGGCGCGAGGCGCACCGAGGCGCACCCCAAUGAGGCAAGGCACAUUAUAAAAUGGUGGGCUGCUAGGGUUUUUUUUUUUUAACUUGUCCAGCAGCCAACAGCCAGCAAAAAGAAAAAAAGAAGAAGAAGAAGAAGAAGAGGAGUGAAGGGAGAGAUCUCAAACAAACCUGAUGGAAUCGGAGGCAUCUACCGCUGCUAAAACUGACAAUAGCAACAAAGAUCCCACAUGGAAAUAUGUCCACUUGGUGAAUCCAAACAAUAGAAAUGAUGUUGCUUGUAACUUUUGUAGCAAAGUUACAAAAGGAGGGAUAUUUCGAGCUACACAGCAUUAGUUGGAGGAUUUCGAAAUGCUACAAUGUGUAAGAAGUGUCCAACACAUGUGCGUGAAGAGCUACAAGAGUAUAUGCAGCAAAAGGCUUCAGCAAAGACCUUAGAUAAAUUGCCUGAUUAUGAGGAUGUUGAAAUUCUUGGAGAUGACGAAGAUGAAGAUGAUGUUGGGAUAAUUCUUAGAGGCUCAAAAGGAAAUAGUAAGGUUCAAAAGAAGGCAAGGACAAAGGGUCCAAUAGAUUUAUAUUUUGCCAAAAGUGCUGCAAAGGCGGUACAGGAUAGAAAAAAUUCAAAGCUGAAGCAAACCACUAUUAAUGAGGCAUGUAAAAAGGAAUUGAGAAAAAAAGCAUGUAAGGAUAUAGCUCGAUGGAUGUAUGAUGCGGCAAUUCCUUUUAAUGCUGUCAAUUAUCCAAGUUUUCAAGUUAUGGUGGAGUUUAUUGGACAAUUUGGGAUUGGUAUGAAAGCACCUAGUUUUCAUGAGGUGCGGGUUCCCUUAUUGAAUGAAGAAGUUGCUGAGGUGAAGAAUUCAUUGAAGUCCUAUGAAGAAGAAUGGGCAAAAUAUGGUUGUUCUAUAAUGGCAGAUGGUUGGACUGAUAAGAAACAAAGGACUUUGAUUAAUUUCUUGGUGAAUUCUCCAAAGGGAACUGUUUUCAUGGAAUCUGUUGAUGCUUCAGAGUACUCAAAAACUGGUGAUAAGAUGUAUGACCUGCUUAAUAGAUUUGUAGAGCGUGUUGGAGAGGCUAAUGUGGUUCAAGUUGUGACAGAUAAUGCUAGCAAUUGUGUGCUUGCAGGGAAGUUGUUAGAAACAAAGUGCCCUCAUUUGUAUUGGACUCCCUGUGCUGCUCAUUGCCUAGAUUUGAUGCUAGAAGAUAUUGGAAAAAUUCCCAAAAUUCACAACACAAUUAAAAGGGCAGUGACAUUGAAUGGAUAUAUUUACAUUCGUCCGGGUGUGGUGAACAUGUUGCGGCACUUUACUGGUGAAAGAGAGCUAAUUAGGCCAGCUGUCACAAGAUUUGCAACUGCUUUUCUCACCCUUCAACGUAUACGUAAGAACAAGGCGAAUUUGAGAAAGAUGUUUACCUCAGAGGAAUGGACCAAAAGUAAGUGGGCAAAAGAACUGUCAGGUAAAAAAGUAUACAGUAUUGUCAUGAUGCCUACUUUUUGGACUAAUAUUGUUUAUAUCUUAAAGAUAUUUGGUCCAUUAGUUCGUGUGCUUAGAUUAGUUGAUGGUGAGAAAAUGCCUGCAAUGGGAUAUAUUUAUGAGGCGAUGGAUAGGGCUAAAGAAGCAAUUGCAAAGUCAUUUGAUGAAAAUGAAGAAAAAUACAAGACAAUUUUUGAGAUUAUUGAUAAACGAUGGGAAAGCCAACUCCAUCGACCUUUGCACGCAGCUGGAUAUUAUUUGAAUCCUGAAUUUUUUUAUUCAAAUGAGAAAAUUAAUGAAGAUGUUGAGGUUGUUACCGGUUUAUUCCAAGUUGUAGCAAGGUUGAUUCCAAGCAAAGAAGAGCAAGACAAAAUAAUGGCACAAUUGCCUUUUUAUCAAAAUGCUGAAGGUAUCUUUGGGAUGGAUAUGACAAUUAGGAAUCGAAAGAAAGUAUCUCCAACUACAUAGUGGCUAACUUAUGGAGCAACAACUCUAAAUUUGAGAAAUUUUGCUGUUAAAGUGCUUAGCCUCACUUGUAGUGCAUCUGGUUGUGAGCGUAAUUGGAGCAUCUUUGAGCAUAUUCACAGUAAAAAAAGAAAUAGACUAGCUCAAAAUCGCUUGAAUGAUUUGGUGUUUGUCAAGUACAAUCGGUCAUUAAAGCGUAGAUAUGAUGCACGUGACCGCAUUGACCCCAUCUCAUUGAAAGACAUUGAUGAUAGUAAUGAAUGGUUGAUGGGUCAAAUGGAGGAAGAGAUUGAUAGAGAUGAACUUGUUUUUGAAGAUGAUGAUUUGACAUGGAAUGUGGUUGCUGCAGCUACUGGAGCUGAAGAGAAUGCCUACAACACUAGAUUAAGCAAAGGGAAAAAUGUUGCAUCUACAUCACAGCAAAAAAGAAAAGUAUCAUCCACUCGUACUUCUUCACUUCUUGAAGACGAGGAAGAAAAUGAUGAUGAUGAAGAUGUUAAUUUGGAAGAUGAGUAUGAGGAGGAUAAUGAAGAUGAUGAAGAAGAUGAAGAAGAUGAAGAGGAUUUUGAUAUUUCUAUUGAUGGGGAUUGAACAUUUAGUAGUUUACUAGUUUAUUAAACUUUAAUUUUUAGUAGUUUAUUUUUAUCUCUUUUGGAUUAUAAACUAAUUAUUACUUGCAUAUUUGUUAGUUAUUAUUAUAUAGUUUUAUGUUACUUGA